RNAcentral lists this ribosomal RNA (492 nucleotides) under uncultured bacterium. RNAcentral describes it as "partial 16S ribosomal RNA". It matches the Rfam family "Bacterial small subunit ribosomal RNA", at positions 29 to 507 of the family's 1533-position model. The record is from RNAcentral.
AGUGAACGCUGGCGGUAGGCCUAACACAUGCAAGUCGAACGGCAGCACAGUAAGAGCUUGCUCUUACGGGUGGCGAGUGGCGGACGGGUGAGGAAUACAUCGGAAUCUACUUUUUCGUGGGGGAUAACGUAGGGAAACUUACGCUAAUACCGCAUACGACCUACGGGUGAAAGCAGGGGAUCUUCGGACCUUGCGCGAUUGAAUGAGCCGAUGUCGGAUUAGCUAGUUGGCGGGGUAAAGGCCCACCAAGGCGACGAUCCGUAGCUGGUCUGAGAGGAUGAUCGGCCACAUUGGAACUGAGACACGGUCCAGAGUCCUACGGGAGGCAGCAGUGGGGAAUAUUGGACAAUGGGCGCAAGCCUGAUCCAGCCAUACCGCGUGGGUGAAGAAGGCCUUCGGGUUGUAAAGCCCUUUUGUUGGGAAAGAAAAGCAGCAGGUUAAUACCCCGCGGUUCUGACGGUACCCAAAGAAUAAGCACCGGCUAACUUCGUG